UACGAGAGGCCCAAACGUUAUUCGGAAUUACUGGGCUUAAAGAGUUCGUAGGCGGCAUUACAAGUAGGGUGUGAAAGCCCUCGGCUCAACCGAGGAAUUGCGCUCUAAACUGUCGUGCUAGAGGAACCUAGAGGUGAGCAGAACAGAUGGUGGAGCGGUGAAAUGCGUUGAUAUCAUCUGGAAUACCGGAGGCGAAGGCGGCUCACUGGGGGUUUUCUGACGCUGAGGAACGAAAGCCAGGGUAGCGAACAGG
This 253-nucleotide ribosomal RNA is filed under the name uncultured bacterium. Its description in RNAcentral is "partial 16S ribosomal RNA". It matches the Rfam family "Bacterial small subunit ribosomal RNA", at positions 524 to 776 of the family's 1533-position model. The record is from RNAcentral.